CGUCGCCGUCAUUCUAUGCCGGGGACUUCUUAGCUUACGCCUUACGCACUCACGUUACCGCCGAUCGGAGUGAUUUCGUCCUGCUCACUCGCUCUCUUUUUCUCUUUCUGUGCCGCAGCUAUCCUUUCGCGACUCGACGAUGAUACGCACGAGAGCCGCCGGACAGAUUGCUCGUAUCAAUAACGUGUAAAGUGGAUGGCAUAUACGAAAAUAUUGACCAGAUCGAUUACACGCUGAAAAAUCAACGUUUCGCAGCUGGAAGAAGACUCGUCAUGAGGUCGUCAGACUGUCACGGGAUCCAACUCGAAAGGGACAUACUUGUUUCAUAAAUUGUGUGUACAAGACGGCCGCAUGCGUGCGUAUGUACGAAGAGUUGCAUAAGAAGCCUUAAAUCUGCCGGAGAGGCUGACCAGCGUCCGUCUUCCACGCUCGACCUUGCUCGUCGCUACCGGACGCACUCGUCGUUGUCGGUCAUCGCGCGAUGUACCUCGAGACAUUGAUCGUUCGAUGACGGAACCGCCAUUUUCCACGUGGUAUCGGAAUGUUUAGACAAUAUUCUUACCGACCUACCGUGCCGCGUUCGAGGCCUACCAUUAACGCGUUCGCUACCACAGUUUACUUGGGGAACUCUCUCCGCGGACCACAUUUGUUUUUAUACGCAGAAAAAACGUCUAAUUGAAUUAGUCUGUCAACUGCUUAGUCUACAUCGAGAGGAUUAAACGCGGACUGACCUAUACCGUGACUAAUCGCGGUCGAUUAUUCUUGUAAAAAUCAAUUGCGAUUGGUUACAGUAUAGGUCAGUCCGCGUUUAGUCCUCUCGAUGUAAACUAAGCAAAUAAACGAACAAAAUGAGUUUCGGUUGAAGGAAAGAGAAUUUCUGCUUCUUAGGUUUGUAUUAAUAUAUUUUUGAAACUUGUUUCAUAUGUGAUACUUAAAUUUUUAUUCAGAGCUAAAUUAAAAUUUUUUAGUUAAGUUAUAAUAUGCGUGUCAUUUAUAUAUUUUACCAUGCUUUUACUGAGAAACUCUAACUCUGAAAUUUGAAUAUCUGAUUUGAGAAGUCUUUCAAAUAAUAACUGUUAAUACGAGCCUUAGAACCGAAUUUGGUUCAUAAAAACUGCACGCAGACAUUCCAUUUCCUUCAACUGAAAUAUGUUUUGUUCACUCAUUGUUAGGUUAAUUCAACCAAACUUUUUCUAAUUGUGUAAAAUAGAUCUAGUUUAUUUACAUAUAUAUACAGAGAAAAAAUUAUCGUUGUCACCGAUAUGCGACGUUGAUAAUGAUCGUAAAUAUAUAUGAACGUGUUAAGGUGAUGUCAAAAUGGGCGACGAACUCUAAAAAUUUCGAUAACGCAGAGGCAAUCGUCAAAACAUCAUGUCAAAUAAGUAUCGAUUACGUUACCUUUUUUCGUAUUUUUUGUGGAUAUAGAUCUUAUACAGGAUGUCUGACAAUUAAUAAUAUAUCUGUUGUGUGCAGAUAAAACUCAAGAAGCUAAAUGCAAAAUUCCUCUAUCGUUUCACAAAUAAUCACCUAAAAUUUUAAGUUAUUAAUCAAAAAAGAUUGGUGAAUGAUUACGCGCGAUACGGAUCGGCAAACUGAAAAAAAAAUUCUGUACAAUUACAAAUUAUAUAGAUUUUUAGUUAUUAAUUAAAGAAGGUUAGAGCAUGAUUUUGUGCGAUAAUGCAUCAAUGUUUUUUGAUAAUUAAAAAUUUCCGCGGCCAUUUACAAAACGAUAUACGGAGAGAAUAUUGUAGUAAAAAUUACAAUACAAUACGUGGUAAUUUUUACUAUAUUUAUAGUCAUUUUUACUAUGUUCAUCGUUACUUUUACUAUGUCUUAUUGUAAUUUUUGUAAUAGUGCUCAUCUACUCCCGAAUUACUAGAAUUUUUACUACAAUAUUCUCUCCGUGUACAGGACUUUUUUGUUCAGUUUGACCUGAUGUAUAAACAUCUAAUGUCGUCAUUGCAACUUUAUAUUGCGCGUGAAUCUUCAUCAAUCUUCUUUGAUUAAUAACUUAAAAUUUUGAAAUGGUGGUUGUUUGAAAUGGUAGAAGAAUUUUGCGUUUAGUUGUCGAAUUCUACCUGCACACAACAGGUUAUUAAUUGUUAGAUAUCCUGUAUAAAUGUGUACUGCUUUGUUUUGCCGUAUUUAGCGGAAAAUAUAAAGAUGUAUAGGAAACUUUUUGCAAACUAUUCACAUUUUUUAAGCUCAUAAAUUUAGUUAUAAAGGUACAACAAUAUUUUUUGAAAUUUCCCUGAGCAAAAAACUCAGAAUGCACUCAAACUACGGAAAUUUUGAAUCAGGCAAAUAUUUACGCUAACUGAUAGCUCGAGAUGUUAAUUUUGAAAUUUUUUAUCGUUUACGUCAUAUGUUGAGCAAUAUUCCCAUUUAUUUUUGCAAGUACUUUCAUUGUGAAGAAGCAUUUAUAAUUCUGUGUAAUCAGUACGAUGUAAACUUUGCAGAAAAAAGUUAGUAUUGUCGGUGAAGUCUCCAAUUAUAGUAUGUUUUUAAGUAAAAUUGAAAAUUAUAAGUUUGAAAUGAGAGAUCGAUGCGUCAUAUGUAUGAUGCUGAUUACGAAAGUGUUAACAUGUUGAAUGUCGUGAUUGAUGACGGGCAUUAGAGCAGUCAGCGUCUCAUUAAAUUACAUAUAAAGUAUAAUUAUUAGCAUAUGAAAAAUCGAUUAUACUAGCAAUAGAGAGCCAAUGAAACGAGGUAGUUAAAAAUAUAUGCGUCUGGAAUUAUGUUUAUUUACUACAUCUUUUGCAUUUUUUUAUCAGUUAAGCUUUUGUGCAAGCUGCAAAAAUCAACGCAAUAGUCAACGGGUCAAAUAUAGCUCGCUAUCAUUGUUUUCGAAGGAAUUGGCGAUGGCAAACGCAUGGCCGAGGACAUUUUACGCCGAAACGUUGUAUUUUAAAAAAUAACGCUAAAACGCUCGCGUUUUAUUAUUACUGAAAUAAACAAUCGCGUGUUUAUAAACGGAAUACACAAGUACACCGCAUUUGAGAAGUAGCAAUUCUUUUUUAAGAAUAAUGAGCAUUUUUGUUGAAUAUAUUCUCGUUUAUUAUAUAUUAUUGGCUAAAUCGUUCAGGAAUGUUGUAGAUUUGCUAGGUUUAUGAUAUAAAAUGUUUCUUAAAUUUUAGGCCUACGUACGCGGCGAUGCGGCCAAACAAAACACUUCAUCUUGGUAACACGUUUUGGUAACUAUUAAAAAUUUUGCAAAGAACAUAUUAAAUCAAUCUUUUCUUGAGGUUUUAUAUAGUCUGAUGUACUAAUUUACAUUUUGUAUAAACGUCAAAUGUCGAAUAUUUAGGAAAAAGAGAUAUGUGAAGAGCGAUUGCUUGAGAUUUGACAAGUUUUGGGGCGAGAUUUAAAGUUUAUAGAAGUUUUUCAAAUUAGAAACAAAUUUACAAAAUUUACUAAAAUAACAAUUUUUACUAAAUAGAUCCGAUGUUCUCAUCGGUUGCCGCCGCUUAUAAUACGGAAACAACGAAUAUAUCGACUGUAAUUUCUAUUAAAUAUUAUUGAAUGCAUAAAAAUUAAUCAAAAUCCUUAUCAAUGAAAUAUUUAUUGUUAUUGAAUCGAAUUUUGUCACGCUUCCAUAGAUAGAUUCGGCUUUAUUUGUGUUACGCUUACGUAUAAAAAUACGUAUACAUAAUACCACGUAUACCACGUAUAUUAUACAACGAUAUAAAUAAUGGAGUGAACAACAUUGAAAUUAUUUGAAUAUAUCUUUGGCAAAUAGAUAUGCAAAAAUUUGUUGACAUACUAGGCGCGCAGACGGUGUUUCAAAUCAUUUUUAAGGAUGUUGCGUCAUAAAGGGAAACGGUUUAUUUAAGUAGUCGAAACACGUAAUUACAUUUUAUUCGUUAAUUAUGUGUUUUUAAAAUGAUACUGAAUCUCUCAACAGUAGUGCAGCAUGCGACGUUAAUUAAACUAACAUGCAACUUACAAAUAACAACUAGUAGAAACGUUAACAUACGAAAACAAAAAUGCUCGAUACGAGGAAUGUCCGUUUUCUUGUGUUUCCUAAGAUUUAUGCCGAAAAUACAACAAUUUUCUGAAAUAACCGGAUAUUAUUAUCAACCACAAGUCGCGUAAAGAUAUUAACGAGAAAACUGCGGCAAACUAUAACUGCGCAAUUAUUUCAUUUCUUAAUUAUCACACUUCUAAUUUACGAUCGAAAGUAAAGAGAGAGAGAGAGAGAGAGAGAGAGAGAAAGAGAGACAAAUGAUUUAUUCGAGGAUCAUGUACUAUUAGAUGCGAAUCUUGGAGGUCGCGCGCGCGCGAGACGACACGUGUAAAAACGUUACAAAUACGACGAACUAAUCGUGCAAUCAACUUCUUCGGCCAUCGAAUGUAUCAUUGAAAUCGCGGUUAAAACGAGAAGCGAUUUGCUCGAUUGAGCGGUCGAAGAUCGUGCACAACCGAACGCGAGAGUUCUCUCCGAGAAUUUCUAAAUUUCCGUCGGUGCAGCGAUUACUGUUCACGCUCGACUGGGCGAGCGUGGAAACUUGCGCGGAUACGAGAUCGCGAGCGGUGCGAAAGUCUGAAAGGAUACAUACCCGAAAACGAUGUGGUUUCGCUGAUUUUGUUUACGGGCGCGAAGCGACUGAGGCUAGCCGCGUCGUCGUGAAUCGCGAGCGACGGCACGCGACGCCGUCCGACGGCCACCUGCAACGUCGUUCACCAGUGGCGACGAUUUCGGCGAUCACGCGGCGUCGUCGAUCGCGCGCCUAAUUGCAGGUGAAAUCGCGCUAAUCGCGGGGAAGUGGAUCACGCGUGGCGAUUUCGCGGGAUCCACGCGGGUUUUCUAGAUAAUUGACAUAGCAGAUGCUCGCGAGGCGACUGCCCGUAUACGAGCGUGCGGCAGAUCAAUUUGCCAGUAUCUCGGAGUUUGCCCUGCCAUCUGGUACGCGGAUGCAGCACUAGCGGCUUUUCUGUUGUUCAAAAUGUUUGCGAUCGAGCCUUUUGUUCGCUUUUGCUCGAAUCUCCCUCGUCCCUCGUAUAAAGUCGAAUAUGAGUAGAACUCCCGGUUUUUCGCAGUGACACAUGAAAUUUCGUGGCGACGUGCGAUUGGUGGGCUUCGCCUUGAAUCGUCUUGAAAUCGUCUUUGGAAAAAUGCUGCCGCUUCUUUUAAAGGAAAAGAGGAUUACGCGUUAUCAAGUUCACAACAUAUUGUAUGAAAAUACGGACAUGAGACAAUUUGGAAAUAAAGUCGUUAAUUCUCGAUGCCGGUAAUGACAAUUACUCUAUUUUUCAAGAACGCGGCCAUUGUUAUUUACAAUAGAUAGUUGGUCAAAGUAGGACUGGGGAAUUUGAGGCUUCUAUUAAAAUAUAAAUGUGUAAACGCACAGAACUAGUUUUUAGGUCAAAGAUGGUCCCCGUAAUAUUCAGCGAUGUGACAAGAGUAAUGAUACAAUAAUUCUUUAUAAAGUAUGAGAUCAAUGAACUAUAUUUGUAGUUUAUUAUAUUAAUUAUUUAUAUAUUAAAAAAAUUAAUAAUUUCUUAUUCUCAC
Odontomachus brunneus is the source of this 5512-nucleotide long non-coding RNA. RefSeq lists it as uncharacterized. Lineage: Eukaryota; Metazoa; Arthropoda; Insecta; Hymenoptera; Formicidae. The record is from RefSeq and is a predicted model, not a curated record. The transcript is spliced from 3 exons.